GCGGAGGAAAAGAAACCAACAGGGAUUGCCCUAGUAACGGCGAGUGAAGCGGCAACAGCUCAAAUUUGAAAUCUGGCCUCGGCCCGAGUUGUAAUUUGCAGAGGAUGCUUCUGGCGCGGUGCCUUCCGAGUUCCCUGGAACGGGACGCCACAGAGGGUGAGAGCCCCGUAUGGUCGGACACCAAGCCUGUGUGAAGCUCCUUCGACGAGUCGAGUAGUUUGGGAAUGCUGCUCUAAAUGGGAGGUAAAUCUCUUCUAAAGCUAAAUACCGGCCAGAGACCGAUAGCGCACAAGUAGAGUGAUCGAAAGAUGAAAAGCACCUUGAAAAGGGGGUUAAAUAGUACGUGAAAUUGUUGAAAGGGAAGCACUUGUGACCAGACUUGGGCCGGGCGGCUCAUCAGGGGUUCUCCCCUGUGCACUCCGCCCGGCACAGGCCAGCAUCGGUUUUCGCGGGGGGAUAAGACCGCCGGGAACGUAGCACCCUCCGGGGUGUGUUAUAGCCCGGCGGACGAUACCCCCGCGGGGACCGAGGUCCGCGCUCCGCAAGGAUGCUGGCGUAAUGGUCACCAGUGACCCGUCUUGAAACACGGACCAAGGAGUCGUCCAUUAGAGCGAGCGUUUGGGUGUAAAACCCGCACGCGUAAUGAAAGUGAACGCAGGUGAGAGCUUCGGCGCAUCAUCGACCGAUCCUGAUGUUCUCGGAAGGAUUUGAGUAAGAGUUUUAACGGACGGACCCGAAAGACAGUGAACUAUGCUUGUAUAGGGUGAAGCCAGAGGAAACUCUGGUGGAGGCUCGCAGCGGUUCUGACGUGCAAAUCGAUCGUCAAAUAUGAGCAUGGGGGCGAAAGACUAAUCGAACUGUCUAGUAGCUGGUUACCGCCGAAGU
RNAcentral lists this ribosomal RNA (885 nucleotides) under Phaeocytostroma ambiguum. Its description in RNAcentral is "eukaryotic LSU rRNA". It matches the Rfam family "Eukaryotic large subunit ribosomal RNA", at positions 50 to 967 of the family's 3401-position model. The record is from RNAcentral. Lineage: Eukaryota; Fungi; Ascomycota; Sordariomycetes; Diaporthales; Diaporthaceae.